RNAcentral lists this ribosomal RNA (460 nucleotides) under uncultured bacterium. Its description in RNAcentral is "partial 16S ribosomal RNA". It matches the Rfam family "Bacterial small subunit ribosomal RNA", at positions 338 to 795 of the family's 1533-position model. The record is from RNAcentral.
CCUACGGGAGGCAGCAGUGAGGAAUAUUGGUCAAUGGGCGGGAGCCUGAACCAGCCAAGUCGCGUGAAGGACGAAGGUGCCAAGCAUUGUAAACUUCUUUUGUCAAGGGACAAAAUCAGGCUCGAGAGCCUGACCGAGGGUACUUGAAGAAAAAGCAUCGGCUAACUCCGUGCCAGCAGCCGCGGUAAUACGGAGGAUGCGAGCGUUAUCCGGAUUUAUUGGGUUUAAAGGGAGCGUAGGUGGAUUGUUAAGUCAGUUGUGAAAGUUUGCGGCUCAACCGUAAAAUUGCAGUUGAAACUGGCAGUCUUGAGUACAGUAGAGGUGGGCGGAAUUCGUGGUGUAGCGGUGAAAUGCUUAGAUAUCACGAAGAACUCCGAUUGCGAAGGCAGCUCACUGGACUGCAACUGACACUGAUGCUCGAAAGUGUGGGUAUCAAACAGGAUUAGAUACCCCUGUAGUC